This 17-nucleotide ribosomal RNA is filed under the name Glyphium elatum. Its description in RNAcentral is "partial 28S ribosomal RNA". RNAcentral also lists the same sequence under 11 other names. The record is from RNAcentral. Lineage: Eukaryota; Fungi; Ascomycota; Dothideomycetes; Patellariales.
UUUGACCUCGGAUCAGG